This 2011-nucleotide ribosomal RNA is filed under the name Escherichia coli. RNAcentral's name for it is "partial 23S ribosomal RNA". It matches the Rfam family "Bacterial large subunit ribosomal RNA", at positions 949 to 2925 of the family's 2925-position model. The record is from RNAcentral. Lineage: Bacteria; Pseudomonadati; Pseudomonadota; Gammaproteobacteria; Enterobacterales; Enterobacteriaceae.
GCAAACUGCGAAUACCGGAGAAUGUUAUCACGGGAGACACACGGCGGGUGCUAACGUCCGUCGUGAAGAGGGAAACAACCCAGACCGCCAGCUAAGGUCCCAAAGUCAUGGUUAAGUGGGAAACGAUGUGGGAAGGCCCAGACAGCCAGGAUGUUGGCUUAGAAGCAGCCAUCAUUUAAAGAAAGCGUAAUAGCUCACUGGUCGAGUCGGCCUGCGCGGAAGAUGUAACGGGGCUAAACCAUGCACCGAAGCUGCGGCAGCGACACUAUGUGUUGUUGGGUAGGGGAGCGUUCUGUAAGCCUGUGAAGGUGUACUGUGAGGUAUGCUGGAGGUAUCAGAAGUGCGAAUGCUGACAUAAGUAACGAUAAAGCGGGUGAAAAGCCCGCUCGCCGGAAGACCAAGGGUUCCUGUCCAACGUUAAUCGGGGCAGGGUGAGUCGACCCCUAAGGCGAGGCCGAAAGGCGUAGUCGAUGGGAAACAGGUUAAUAUUCCUGUACUUGGUGUUACUGCGAAGGGGGGACGGAGAAGGCUAUGUUGGCCGGGCGACGGUUGUCCCGGUUUAAGCGUGUAGGCUGGUUUUCCAGGCAAAUCCGGAAAAUCAAGGCUGAGGCGUGAUGACGAGGCACUACGGUGCUGAAGCAACAAAUGCCCUGCUUCCAGGAAAAGCCUCUAAGCAUCAGGUAACAUCAAAUCGUACCCCAAACCGACACAGGUGGUCAGGUAGAGAAUACCAAGGCGCUUGAGAGAACUCGGGUGAAGGAACUAGGCAAAAUGGUGCCGUAACUUCGGGAGAAGGCACGCUGAUAUGUAGGUGAAGCGACUUGCUCGUGGAGCUGAAAUCAGUCGAAGAUACCAGCUGGCUGCAACUGUUUAUUAAAAACACAGCACUGUGCAAACACGAAAGUGGACGUAUACGGUGUGACGCCUGCCCGGUGCCGGAAGGUUAAUUGAUGGGGUUAGCGGUAACGCGAAGCUCUUGAUCGAAGCCCCGGUAAACGGCGGCCGUAACUAUAACGGUCCUAAGGUAGCGAAAUUCCUUGUCGGGUAAGUUCCGACCUGCACGAAUGGCGUAAUGAUGGCCAGGCUGUCUCCACCCGAGACUCAGUGAAAUUGAACUCGCUGUGAAGAUGCAGUGUACCCGCGGCAAGACGGAAAGACCCCGUGAACCUUUACUAUAGCUUGACACUGAACAUUGAGCCUUGAUGUGUAGGAUAGGUGGGAGGCUUUGAAGUGUGGACGCCAGUCUGCAUGGAGCCGGCCUUGAAAUACCACCCUUUAAUGUUUGAUGUUCUAACGUUGGCCCCUGAUCGGGGUUGCGGACAGUGUCUGGUGGGUAGUUUGACUGGGGCGGUCUCCUCCUAAAGAGUAACGGAGGAGCACGAAGGUUGGCUAAUCCUGGUCGGACAUCAGGAGGUUAGUGCAAUGGCAUAAGCCAGCUUGACUGCGAGCGUGACGGCGCGAGCAGGUGCGAAAGCAGGUCAUAGUGAUCCGGUGGUUCUGAAUGGAAGGGCCAUCGCUCAACGGAUAAAAGGUACUCCGGGGAUAACAGGCUGAUACCGCCCAAGAGUUCAUAUCGACGGCGGUGUUUGGCACCUCGAUGUCGGCUCAUCACAUCCUGGGGCUGAAGUAGGUCCCAAGGGUAUGGCUGUUCGCCAUUUAAAGUGGUACGCGAGCUGGGUUUAGAACGUCGUGAGACAGUUCGGUCCCUAUCUGCCGUGGGCGCUGGAGAACUGAGGGGGGCUGCUCCUAGUACGAGAGGACCGGAGUGGACGCAUCACUGGUGUUCGGGUUGUCAUGCCAAUGGCACUGCCCGGUAGCUAAAUGCGGAAGAGAUAAGUGCUGAAAGCAUCUAAGCACGAAACUUGCCCCGAGAUGAGUUCUCCCUGAGACUUAGAGUCUCCUGAAGGAACGUUGAAGACGACGACGUUGAUAGGCCGGGUGUGUAAGCGCAGCGAUGCGUUGAGCUAACCGGUACUAAUGAACCGUGAGGCUUAACCUUACAACGCCGAAG